CCCACCUUAUAACUAAUAUUUCUUUAAGCUAGCACUAGCGUGUUGCUGGUCCAUGAUUGGCAACUGGAAACCUUGAGCACGAGUGGUUGAAGCUUCCGACAAACUUUUGUCUUCGGCACGCUCAACACGAUACGGAACCGAACAGGCUGGGCUCCAUAGAAUUAAAGACAGACCUACUACGGCAACUGAUCAACCUUUGGACA
Molecule: long non-coding RNA, 203 nt
Filed under: Elaeis guineensis (African oil palm)
Lineage: Eukaryota; Viridiplantae; Streptophyta; Magnoliopsida; Arecales; Arecaceae
Description: long non-coding RNA (EGUI_LNC024373)
Source: RNAcentral